GGGGGUAUAGCUCAGUGGUAGACCCUUCCCGACUGCAGAUCGGGGGUUUCCCCCGGCUAAAACCCGGGUGUCCUCU
This is a non-coding RNA of Trichonephila inaurata madagascariensis, 76 nucleotides long. Lineage: Eukaryota; Metazoa; Arthropoda; Arachnida; Araneae; Nephilidae. The record is from the annotation of a GenBank genome assembly.